GGGAUGACACAGUAGGAUAAGCUAAGCACACUGUUGGUUAUGUGUGCCCAAGCAUUGAGGCAGUCAAAGUAGGCAAAUCCGCGUUGAUAAUGCUGGGAUGUGAUGGGGAGCGAAAUUUAGUAGCGAAGUAGCUGAUUUCACACUGUCAAGAAAAGUCUCUAUCGAGGUUAAAGGUACCCGUACCGCAAACCGACACAGGUGGGUGAGGAGAGUAUCCUAAGGCCA
This 225-nucleotide ribosomal RNA is filed under the name Clostridioides difficile. RNAcentral describes it as "partial 23S ribosomal RNA". It matches the Rfam family "Bacterial large subunit ribosomal RNA", at positions 1466 to 1687 of the family's 2925-position model. The record is from RNAcentral. Lineage: Bacteria; Bacillati; Bacillota; Clostridia; Peptostreptococcales; Peptostreptococcaceae.